GCCUUCUUAGCUCAGUUGGUAGAGCGCGUCACUAGUAUCAUGCAUGGUAACACAUGACGAGGUCGGUCGUUCAAAUCGGCCAGGAGGCA
Molecule: non-coding RNA, 89 nt
Organism: Gautieria morchelliformis
Lineage: Eukaryota; Fungi; Basidiomycota; Agaricomycetes; Gomphales; Gomphaceae
Source: the annotation of a GenBank genome assembly